GAUUAUGGCUCAGGAUGAACGCUAGCUACAGGCCUAACACAUGCAAGUCGAGGGGCAGCAGAUCGAAGCUUGCUUUGAUGCUGGCGACCGGCGAAUGGGUGAGUCACGCGUGUCCAACCUGCCCUGGUGCCCGGGGAUAGCCCUUGGAAAUGAGGAUUAACACCCGAUAGGUGGCGCUUCCGCAUGGCGGCGCCAUGAAACCGACACAGGAUGGGGACGCGUCGGAUUAGCUUGACGGCGGGGCGACGGCCCACCGUGGCGACGAUCCGCAGGGGUUCUGAGAGGAAGGUCCCCCACACUGGCACUGAGACACGGGCCAGACUCCUACGGGAGGCAGCAGUGAGGAAUAUUGGUCAAUGGCCGAGAGGCUGAACCAGCCAAGUAGCCGUACAGGACGACGGCCCUACGGGUUGUAAACUGCUUUUGCGGGAGGAUAAAGGACGCCACGUGUGGCGUUUUGCAGGUAUCCCGUGAAUAAGGACCGGCUAAUUCCGUGCCAGCAGCUGC
RNAcentral lists this ribosomal RNA (507 nucleotides) under uncultured bacterium. RNAcentral's name for it is "bacterial SSU rRNA". It matches the Rfam family "Bacterial small subunit ribosomal RNA", at positions 15 to 518 of the family's 1533-position model. The record is from RNAcentral.